RNAcentral lists this ribosomal RNA (773 nucleotides) under uncultured bacterium. RNAcentral describes it as "bacterial SSU rRNA". It matches the Rfam family "Bacterial small subunit ribosomal RNA", at positions 8 to 798 of the family's 1533-position model. The record is from RNAcentral.
AGAGUUUGAUCCUGGCUCAGGACGAACGCUGGCGGCGUGCUUAACACAUGCAAGUCGAACGGAAAGGCCCUUCGGGGUACUCGAGUGGCGAACGGGUGAGUAACACGUGGGUGAUCUGCCCUGCACUUUGGGAUAAGCCUGGGAAACUGGGUCUAAUACCGAAUAGGACCACGCGCUUCAUGGUGUGUGGUGGAAAGCUUUUGCGGUGUGGGACGGGCCCGCGGCCUAUCAGCUUGUUGGUGGGGUAAUGGCCUACCAAGGCGACGACGGGUAGCCGGCCUGAGAGGGUGACCGGCCACACUGGGACUGAGAUACGGCCCAGACUCCUACGGGAGGCAGCAGUGGGGAAUAUUGCACAAUGGGCGCAAGCCUGAUGCAGCGACGCCGCGUGAGGGAUGACGGCCUUCGGGUUGUAAACCUCUUUCAAUAGGGACGAAGCGCAAGUGACGGUACCUAUAGAAGAAGCACCGGCCAACUACGUGCCAGCAGCCGCGGUAAUACGUAGGGUGCGAGCGUUGUCCGGAAUUACUGGGCGUAAAGAGCUCGUAGGUGGUUUGUCGCGUUGUUCGUGAAAACUCACAGCUUAACUGUGGGCGUGCGGGCGAUACGGGCAGACUAGAGUACUGCAGGGGAGACUGGAAUUCCUGGUGUAGCGGUGGAAUGCGCAGAUAUCAGGAGGAACACCGGUGGCGAAGGCGGGUCUCUGGGCAGUAACUGACGCUGAGGAGCGAAAGCGUGGGGAGCGAACAGGAUUAGAUACCCUGGUAGUCCAA